GAGAGUUCAAGAGGGCGUGAAACCGCUUGGAAGCAAACAGAUGGACCUGACGGAGAGUUGCUGGGAUUCAGCCCACUGUGUCACCUCACCCUUCUGCUUGAUUGUUUCCACAGGUUUGGAGGUGUUGGUGUGGCCAGCGGGUGCAUUUCCUGGUGAUGCGCAUCAGAGCCUGUGUCGGUGCUGGAGCUAUGGUGGUGUGUGCCGGCCGACCUUGUUGGUGUCCCAAUGCUGCCUGAAACCGGGUCACUGGCACAGGGCUAUGCACAGGUGCCCGCCUCUACUCUGGUAGGCUUGUUUGUUCCUGGAGUUAAACGGCAGUCUCAUGCUUGCAUGAUUCAGCGACCUCUCCGGUGAGUGGCCGGCUUAUGCAGAGUUGGUGCCUUUCUCUGGUGUUUUAGUCAGUCACCCAUCUGACCCGUCUUGAAACACGGACCAAGGAGUCUAACAUGUGCGCGAGUCACUGGGUUGUAAAACCCAAAGGCGCAAUGAAAGUAAAGCCUAGUUCGGCUGGGCGACAUGGGACCCUCGGCUUCGGCUGGGGAGCACCAUGGUCCCGUCUAUACUGCAUUGUCAGUAGGGCGGAGAUAGAGCGUACACGUUGGGACCCGAAAGAUGGU
This 617-nucleotide ribosomal RNA is filed under the name Draconematidae sp. 781_8-1500_O. RNAcentral describes it as "eukaryotic LSU rRNA". It matches the Rfam family "Eukaryotic large subunit ribosomal RNA", at positions 383 to 827 of the family's 3401-position model. RNAcentral also lists the same sequence under 1 other name. Lineage: Eukaryota; Metazoa; Nematoda; Chromadorea; Desmodorida; Draconematidae. The record is from RNAcentral.